Molecule: non-coding RNA, 187 nt
Filed under: uncultured Enterocloster sp.
Lineage: Bacteria; Bacillati; Bacillota; Clostridia; Lachnospirales; Lachnospiraceae
Source: RNAcentral
AUGGGAAGUCCGGGAUAAUAGGGAAAUGGGUGGAAAGCCCAUGCGGUCCCGCCGCUGUAAAGGAAGAGUUACCGGAUGCAGAAAGCUGUUAAAAUAGGAACAGGCUUUUGCGAAACGCCACUGCAUGAAUCUAUGUGGGAAGGAGCCGGUGAUGAGGAUGCCUGAGCCAGAAGACCUGCCUUUUUCG